This 318-nucleotide long non-coding RNA is filed under the name Rosa chinensis. Its description in RNAcentral is "sRNA RchiOBHm_Chr1g0375561". Lineage: Eukaryota; Viridiplantae; Streptophyta; Magnoliopsida; Rosales; Rosaceae. The record is from RNAcentral.
GCACUUGUAAUGCCGCAAGCAACCUUGUCCAGGGUCAUUAGUCAAGCCUUUGGUUGGUUUGCUUGCGUGCUAGGGAUGUUUUGGUAAUUUACAAAUUAUGUAAUUUAUUUUAUUUUAGCAUUAGUCUCCUCGGCCUUUUUCAUGUUUCCUUCUGUCAUGUUCAUGUAAAGCCGAUAUGCUCUUUGGGGAGGAGUUCCUAGUCGGCAUAGUUUGGACUAGUGAACUAGUAUAGGUAAGCACAUGUACUUUUGCCUCCCUUGCCGUCUUACCAUCAAUAAAAGAGGAAUUAUUCAAUCAUCUGUGUCUCUACUAUUUUAA